RNAcentral lists this ribosomal RNA (699 nucleotides) under uncultured bacterium. RNAcentral describes it as "bacterial SSU rRNA". It matches the Rfam family "Bacterial small subunit ribosomal RNA", at positions 8 to 714 of the family's 1533-position model. The record is from RNAcentral.
AGAGUUUGAUCCUGGCUCAGGACGAACGUUGGCGGUGCGCUUUAUGCAUGCAAGUCGAGGGAUAUACAUUCGUUCCGUAAGGUUCGGAUGUGGAAACCGGCGAACGGGUGCGUAACACGUGAGAAACCUACCCCCUAGACCGGGAUAGCCCGAGGAAACUCGGAUUAAUACCGGAUACUCUCUUUGGAUCGCAUGAUCCGUUGAGGAAACAGUCCGCUGCUAAGGGAUGGUCUCGCGGCCUAUCAGGUAGUUGGUGAGGUAACGGCUCACCAAGCCUAAGACGGGUAGCUGGUCUGAGAGGACGAUCAGCCACACUGGAACUGAGACACGGUCCAGACUCCUACGGGAGGCAGCAGCAGGGAAUAUUGCACAAUGGGCGAAAGCCUGAUGCAGCGACACCGCGUGCGGGAUGACGGCCUUAGGGUUGUAAACCGCUUUCAGGAGGGAAGAAAAUGACGGUACCUCCAAAAGAAGCUCCGGCCAACUACGUGCCAGCAGCCGCGGUAAUACGUAGGGAGCAAACGUUGUCCGGAUUUAUUGGGCGUAAAGGGCUCGUACGCGGUUCAACAAGUCGGUCGUGAAAGCUCGGGGCUCAACCCCGAGAUGCCGGUCGAAACUGUUGUGACUAGAGUUCGGUAGAAGUGAGUGGAAUUCUCCGUGUACCGGUAGAAUGCGCAGAUAUCGAGAGGAACCCCUUUG